RNAcentral lists this small RNA (656 nucleotides) under Pan troglodytes (chimpanzee). RNAcentral describes it as "processed transcript". The record is from RNAcentral. Lineage: Eukaryota; Metazoa; Chordata; Mammalia; Primates; Hominidae.
AAGAAAUAACCAUAAAAAUGGGUAACCAGUAGCCCUGGAGCUGCUCUGCCUAUGGAGUAGCCAUCCUUUUACUUCUUUGCUUUCUUAAUAAACUUGUUUUCACUUUACUCUAUGGGCUUGCCCUGAAUUCUUUCUUGCAUGAGAUCCAAGAACCCUCUCUUAGGGCCUGGAUCGGGACCCCUUUUCUGAUAACACCAGGAGACACCCUGAGUGGAUUUCCUGAACCGACCGAUAGAUGAGCCUUCCACGCGGGGAGACCUGGAUCCUUAUCGUCUUUGUGGCCCCUUCCAUCUGCACGUGCGGACGAGGCCCGGGUCGCACUCGGGCCGUCAGCCUGGCACGCACAGCGCCGGCGUGCAGGGGGCCUUGGGUGCCACCGAGUCCGGGAGGAAAUCUAGGCCGCCAUCCGUCCGGAGACUGGCACCUGUGACCACCACCCAACAUGUAUUGAACAAGGGCUUGGAGGUCCUUUCUCUAAGGCCGCACCGAUAAACGAUUACCGACUGUUGACCUCACGGCCCCUUCGCUUCCGGCCGCAUUGCCUCGCUGCCCACGCCUGCGCACUCAGGCGCCGCAGAUUCAUUUGGAUUCAAGGUUGGCUCUCAACAGUGCCAGCUGCACUGUCAUCCUAAAGUACUUCUGUGGAAGAGAACAUG